RNAcentral lists this ribosomal RNA (489 nucleotides) under uncultured bacterium. RNAcentral's name for it is "partial 16S ribosomal RNA". It matches the Rfam family "Bacterial small subunit ribosomal RNA", at positions 30 to 507 of the family's 1533-position model. The record is from RNAcentral.
UUGAACGCUGGCGGCAGGCUUAACACAUGCCAGUCGAACGGUAGCAGGAGAAAGCUUGCUUUCUUGCUGACGAGUGGCGGACGGGUGAGUAAUGCUUGGGAAUCUGGCUUAUGGAGGGGGAUAACGACGGGAAACUGUCGCUAAUACCGCGUAGUAUCGGAAGAUGAAAGUGCGGGACCGCAAGGCCGCAUGCCAUAAGAUGAGCCCAAGUGGGAUUAGGUAGUUGGUGGGGUAAAGGCCUACCAAGCCUGCGAUCUCUAGCUGGUCUGAGAGGAUGGCCAGCCACACUGGAACUGAGACACGGUCCAGACUCCUACGGGAGGCAGCAGUGGGGAAUAUUGCGCAAUGGGGGGAACCCUGACGCAGCCAUGCCGCGUGAAUGAAGAAGGCCUUCGGGUUGUAAAGUUCUUUCGGUAUUGAGGAAGGAGUGUAUGUUAAUAGCAUACAUUAUUGACGUUAAAUACAGAAGAAGCACCGGCUAACUCCGUG